GGUGAACCUGCGGAAGGAUCAUUAGUGAAUAUAGGACGUCCAACUUAACUUGGAGUCCGAACUCUCACUUUCUAACCCUGUGCAUUUGUUUGGGAUAGUAACUCUCGCAAGAGGGCGAACUCCUAUUCACUUAUAAACACAAAGUCUAUGAAUGUAUUAAAUUUUAUAACAAAAUAAAACUUUCAACAACGGAUCUCUUGGCUCUCGCAUCGAUGAAGAACGCAGCGAAAUGCGAUAAGUAAUGUGAAUUGCAGAAUUCAGUGAAUCAUCGAAUCUUUGAACGCACCUUGCGCUCCAUGGUAUUCCGUGGAGCAUGCCUGUUUGAGUGUCAUGAAUACUUCAACCCUCCUCUUUCUUAAUGAUUGAAGAGGUGUUUGGUUUCUGAGCGCUGCUGGCCUUUAGGGUCUAGCUCGUUCGUAAUGCAUUAGCAUCCGCAAUCGAACUUCGGAUUGACUUGGCGUAAUAGACUAUUCGCUGAGGAAUUCUAGUCUUCGGACUAGAGCCGGGUUGGGUUAAAGGAAGCUUCUAAUCAGAAUGUCUACAUUUUAAGAUUAGAUCUCAAAUCAGGUAGGACUACCC
This 579-nucleotide ribosomal RNA is filed under the name Antarctic fungal sp. GI952. RNAcentral's name for it is "eukaryotic LSU rRNA". The stretch from base 178 to 331 matches the Rfam family "5.8S ribosomal RNA". The record is from RNAcentral. Lineage: Eukaryota; Fungi.